UCCCUGAUGGUCCAGUGGCUAAGAACUGCACACUUCCUAUGCAGAGGGCCUGGGUUCAAUCCCUGGUCAGGGAA
Molecule: transfer RNA, 74 nt
Filed under: Bos taurus (domestic cattle)
Lineage: Eukaryota; Metazoa; Chordata; Mammalia; Artiodactyla; Bovidae
Also listed under: 2 other names
Rfam family: tRNA
About the family: Transfer RNA (tRNA) molecules are approximately 80 nucleotides in length.
Source: Rfam by way of RNAcentral